UCCCUGGUAGUCCAGUGGCUAGGACUCAAUACUCCCAAUGCAGGGAGCCCAGGUUUGAUUCCUGGUCAGGGAA
This 73-nucleotide transfer RNA is filed under the name Capra hircus (goat). It matches the Rfam family "tRNA". From Rfam's summary of the family: Transfer RNA (tRNA) molecules are approximately 80 nucleotides in length. Their secondary structure includes four short double-helical elements and three loops (D, anti-codon, and T loops). Further hydrogen bonds mediate the characteristic L-shaped molecular structure. tRNAs have two regions of fundamental functional importance: the anti-codon, which is responsible for specific mRNA codon recognition, and the 3' end, to which the tRNAs corresponding amino acid is attached (by aminoacyl-tRNA synthetases). tRNAs cope with the degeneracy of the genetic code in two manners: having more than one tRNA (with a specific anti-codon) for a particular amino acid; and 'wobble' base-pairing, i.e. permitting non-standard base-pairing at the 3rd anti-codon position. Lineage: Eukaryota; Metazoa; Chordata; Mammalia; Artiodactyla; Bovidae. RNAcentral also lists the same sequence under 1 other name. The record is from Rfam by way of RNAcentral.